Molecule: transfer RNA, 72 nt
Filed under: Candidatus Magasanikiibacteriota bacterium
Lineage: Bacteria; Candidatus Magasanikiibacteriota
Description: Candidatus Magasanikbacteria bacterium tRNA-Arg
Rfam family: tRNA
About the family: Transfer RNA (tRNA) molecules are approximately 80 nucleotides in length.
Source: RNAcentral
GCUCUCGUCGUUCAACGGAUAGGACACUGGUUUGCGGAACCGGCAAUGUAGGUUCGAUUCCUGCCGAGAGCA